AAAAAAGGAGAAGCACAAGGAGAAAAAGCAUAAAAAGGACAAGAAGGAGAAAGAAAAGAGAGAGGGUAAAGAGAAAAGGAAUAAAGAUAGAAGUAAAGAAAAACAUAGAGAAAAGAAAGACCGAAAAGAGAAGCGCAAAGACAAGGACAAGGACAAGGACAGAGAUAAGGAGAAAAACCAGACUUCAGAUGAGAAGAGAGUUGAAGUGCAACCAAGCUUCUAUAAUGGACAAAAGUUUGGUUCAAACAGCCUGCAGAGUAGUGAGAUCAAGGAUUCUUUAUACGUGCAGGAAUUGGCCAGAAGAAUCAAGGAUGAAGAUAGGGCAUCAGGAAGC
This 334-nucleotide unclassified non-coding RNA is filed under the name Hevea brasiliensis (rubber tree). The record is from RNAcentral. Lineage: Eukaryota; Viridiplantae; Streptophyta; Magnoliopsida; Malpighiales; Euphorbiaceae.